GUGCUUGUCUCGGUAGCAUAUAUACUAAAAUUGGAAGGAUAUGGAGAAGAUUAGUAUGGUCGCUGCGCAAGGAUGACACGCAAAUUUGUGAAUUGUUUCAUAAUUAC
Small nuclear RNA from Gorilla gorilla gorilla (western lowland gorilla), 107 nucleotides. Lineage: Eukaryota; Metazoa; Chordata; Mammalia; Primates; Hominidae. The record is from Ensembl.